RNAcentral lists this unclassified non-coding RNA (355 nucleotides) under Hevea brasiliensis (rubber tree). The record is from RNAcentral. Lineage: Eukaryota; Viridiplantae; Streptophyta; Magnoliopsida; Malpighiales; Euphorbiaceae.
GGCUUCUGCGGCUGCUGCAUCACCGCUGGAUACCCACCGUACCCAUGUGCUGGCGGGUAACCGUACCCGUACCCGGGAGCAUUAGGGUACCCUCCAUAUGCAUGUUGUGGAGGUGGUGGAUAUCCGCCUGGCGGCGGAUAACCCCCUGGUGGCGGAUAAGGAUACGGAACCUGUCCCUUGCCCGCUUCCGUAUGAUAGGGUGGUGGUGGAGGAUAUCCACCUGGAGGUGGAUAGGCAGAACUUGCACUAGCCCCUGCGCCUGGAUACCCCGCCGCUGGAUAUGCCAUUACGGGUUCGUCGACCUUUUUCGCCUUCUCCUGUGUGUGCAAUGGAGCCUCGAAUUUUUCUCCGAAUU